RNAcentral lists this small nuclear RNA (107 nucleotides) under Ochotona princeps (American pika). Lineage: Eukaryota; Metazoa; Chordata; Mammalia; Lagomorpha; Ochotonidae. The record is from RNAcentral.
GUGCUCACUUUGCUACACUUACACUGAAAUUGGAAAGAUACAGAAAAGAUUAGCACGGCCCCUGUGCAAGGAUGAGAACGAUCGUUCCAGAACAAGUUGUUCUCUUU